Molecule: ribosomal RNA, 303 nt
Filed under: uncultured bacterium
Lineage: Bacteria
Description: partial 16S ribosomal RNA
Rfam family: Bacterial small subunit ribosomal RNA
Source: RNAcentral
AGCAGUCGCCGCGGUAAUACAGAGGAUGCAAGCGUUAUCCGGAAUGAUUAGGCGUAAAGCGUCUGUAGGUGGCUUUUCAAGUCCGCCGUCAAAUCCCAGGGCUCAACCCUGGACAGGCGGUGGAAACUACCAAGCUGGAGGACGGUAGGGGCAGAGGGAAUUUCCGGUGGAGCGAUGAAAUGCGUUGAGAUCAGAAAGAACACCAACAGCGAAAGCACUCUGUUGGGCCGACACUGACACUGAGAGACGAAAGUUAGGGGAGCAAAUGGGAUUAGAUACCCGGGUAGUCCCUGUCUCUUAUAC